UACGGGGGGUGCAAGCGUUAAUCGGAAUUACUGGGCGUAAAGCGUACGUAGGUGGUUUGUUAAGCCAGCUGUGAAAUCCCCGGGCUCAACCUGGGCACUGCAGUUGGAACUGGCGAGCUAGAGUAGGGUAGAGGGGUGUGGAAUUCCAGGUGUAACGGUGAAAUGCGUAGAUAUCUGGAGGAACAUCAGUGGCGAAGGCGACACCCUGGACUCAUACUGACACUGAGGUACGAAAGCGUGGGGAGCAAACAGG
This 253-nucleotide ribosomal RNA is filed under the name uncultured bacterium. RNAcentral describes it as "partial 16S ribosomal RNA". It matches the Rfam family "Bacterial small subunit ribosomal RNA", at positions 524 to 776 of the family's 1533-position model. The record is from RNAcentral.